UACGGGGGGGGCAAGCGUUGUUCGGAAUUACUGGGCGUAAAGGGCUCGUAGGCGGCCAACUAAGUCAUACGUGAAAUCCCUCGGCUUAACCGGGGAACUGCGUCUGAUACUGGAUGGCUUGAGUUCGGGAGAGGGAUGCGGAAUUCCAGGUGUAGCGGUGAAAUGCGUAGAUAUCUGGAGGAACACCGGUGGCGAAGGCGGCAUCCUGGACCAACACUGACGCUGAGUGAGCGAAAGCCAGGGGAGCAAACGGG
This 254-nucleotide ribosomal RNA is filed under the name uncultured bacterium. RNAcentral describes it as "partial 16S ribosomal RNA". It matches the Rfam family "Bacterial small subunit ribosomal RNA", at positions 524 to 776 of the family's 1533-position model. The record is from RNAcentral.